RNAcentral lists this ribosomal RNA (469 nucleotides) under Klebsiella pneumoniae. RNAcentral describes it as "bacterial LSU rRNA". It matches the Rfam family "Bacterial large subunit ribosomal RNA", at positions 2002 to 2470 of the family's 2925-position model. Lineage: Bacteria; Pseudomonadati; Pseudomonadota; Gammaproteobacteria; Enterobacterales; Enterobacteriaceae. The record is from RNAcentral.
UAAUGAUGGCCAGGCUGUCUCCACCCGAGACUCAGUGAAAUUGAACUCGCUGUGAAGAUGCAGUGUACCCGCGGCAAGACGGAAAGACCCCGUGAACCUUUACUAUAGCUUGACACUGAACAUUGAGCCUUGAUGUGUAGGAUAGGUGGGAGGCUUUGAAGCGUGGACGCCAGUCUGCGUGGAGCCAACCUUGAAAUACCACCCUUUAAUGUUUGAUGUUCUAACGUUGGCCCCUUACCGGGGUUGCGGACAGUGUCUGGUGGGUAGUUUGACUGGGGCGGUCUCCUCCCAAAGCGUAACGGAGGAGCACGAAGGUUAGCUAAUCCUGGUCGGACAUCAGGAGGUUAGUGCAAUGGCAUAAGCUAGCUUGACUGCGAGCGUGACGGCGCGAGCAGGUGCGAAAGCAGGUCAUAGUGAUCCGGUGGUUCUGAAUGGAAGGGCCAUCGCUCAACGGAUAAAAGGUACUCCG